Rattus rattus (black rat) is the source of this 110-nucleotide small nuclear RNA. Lineage: Eukaryota; Metazoa; Chordata; Mammalia; Rodentia; Muridae. The record is from RefSeq and is a predicted model, not a curated record.
AUGCUCGCUUCCGUAGCACAUAUACUAAAAUUGGAACGAUACAGAGAAGAGUAGCACAGCCCCUGCGCAAGGAUGGCACGCAAAUUCAUGAAGCAUUAAAAAAAAUAUUU